Molecule: non-coding RNA, 72 nt
Organism: Phrynosoma platyrhinos (Desert horned lizard)
Lineage: Eukaryota; Metazoa; Chordata; Lepidosauria; Squamata; Phrynosomatidae
Source: the annotation of a GenBank genome assembly
GGCUGUGUGGCAUAGUGGUUUGAGUGCUGGACUACAACAUUGGAGACCAGGGUUCAAUUCCACACUCAGCCA